GAGUUUGAUCUUGGCUCAGGAUGAACGCUGGCGGCGUGCUUAACACAUGCAUGUCGAACGGAACUUGUAAGUGGAAGUCUUCGGAUGGAAACUUACUUGUUUAGUGGCGGACGGGUGAGUAACGCGUGGGUAACCUGCCUUACACAGGGGGAUAACAGCCGGAAACGGCUGCUAAUACCGCAUAAGCGCACAGCUUCGCAUGGAGUGGUGUGAAAAAGAUUUUAUCGGUGUAAGAUGGACCCGCGUCUGAUUAGCUAGUUGGUGGGGUAACGGCCUACCAAGGCAACGAUCAGUAGCCGGCUUGAGAGAGUGAACGGCCACAUUGGGACUGAGGCACGGCCCAAACUCCUACGGGAGGCAGGCAGUGGGGAAUAUUGCACAAUGGGCGAAAGCCUGAUGCAGCGACGCCGCGUGAGUGAAGAAGUAUUCGGUAUGUAAAGCUCUAUCAGCAGGGACGAAUAAUGACGGUACCUGACUAAGAAGCCCGGCUAACUACGUGACAGCAGCCGCCGCCGU
This 516-nucleotide ribosomal RNA is filed under the name uncultured microorganism. RNAcentral describes it as "bacterial SSU rRNA". It matches the Rfam family "Bacterial small subunit ribosomal RNA", at positions 9 to 524 of the family's 1533-position model. The record is from RNAcentral.